Molecule: ribosomal RNA, 613 nt
Filed under: uncultured bacterium
Lineage: Bacteria
Description: bacterial SSU rRNA
Rfam family: Bacterial small subunit ribosomal RNA (bases 1-519)
Source: RNAcentral
CCUACGGGAGGCAGCAGUGGGGAAUCUUGCGCAAUGGGCGAAAGCCUGACGCAGCCAUGCCGCGUGAAUGAUGAAGGUCUUAGGAUUGUAAAAUUCUUUCACCGAGGACGAUAAUGACGGUACUCGGAGAAGAAGCCCCGGCUAACUUCGUGCCAGCAGCCGCGGUAAUACGAAGGGGGCUAGCGUUGCUCGGAAUUACUGGGCGUAAAGGGAGCGUAGGCGGAUAGUUUAGUCAGAGGUGAAAGCCCAGGGCUCAACCUUGGAAUUGCCUUUGAUACUGGCUAUCUUGAGUACGGAAGAGGUAUGUGGAACUCCGAGUGUAGAGGUGAAAUUCGUAGAUAUUCGGAAGAACACCAGUGGCGAAGGCGACAUACUGGUCCGUUACUGACGCUGAGGCUCGAAAGCGUGGGGAGCAAACAGGAUUAGAUACCCUGGUAGUCCACGCUGUAAACGAUGAGUGCUAGUUGUCGGCAUGCAUGCAUGUCGGUGACGCAGCUAACGCAUUAAGUACACUCCGCCGUCGGGGUAGGUACGGUCGCGAAGAAGUUAAACGUACAAUAGAAGUUAGACGGCGUGAGACGUGACCGAACGGACGACGACGAGGGAGGUUAGG